GACGAACGCUGGCGGCGUGCCUAAUACAUGCAAGUCGAACGCAUUUUCUUUCACCGUAGCUUGCUACACCGAAAGAAAAUGAGUGGCGAACGGGUGAGUAACACGUGGGUAACCUGCCCAUCAGCGGGGGAUAACACUUGGAAACAGGUGCUAAUACCGCAUAAUUCCAUUUACCGCAUGGUAGAUGGAUGAAAGGCGCUUUUGCGUCACUGAUGGAUGGACCCGCGGUGCAUUAGCUAGCUGGUGGGGUAACGGCCUACCAAGGCUGCGAUGCAUAGCCGACCUGAGAGGGUGAUCGGCCACACUGGGACUGAGACACGGCCCAGACUCCUACGGGAGGCAGCAGUAGGGAAUCUUCGGCAAUGGACACAAGUCUGACCGAGCAACGCCGCGUGAGUGAAGAAGGUUUUCGGAUCGUAAAACUCUGUUGUUAGAGAAGAACAAGGAUGAGAGUGGAAAGUUCAUCCCUUGACGGUAUCUAACCAGAAAGCCACGGCUAACUACGUG
Molecule: ribosomal RNA, 507 nt
Filed under: uncultured bacterium
Lineage: Bacteria
Description: partial 16S ribosomal RNA
Rfam family: Bacterial small subunit ribosomal RNA
Source: RNAcentral